GAUCCUGGCUCAGAACGAACGUUGGCGGCGUGGAUUAGGCAUGCAAGUCGAACGAGAAAGGUCUUUUCGGAGACCGAGUAAAGUGGCGGACGGGUGAGUAAUGCAUAGAUAACCUGCCCUCGAGAUGGGGACAACGCCUCGAAAGGGGUGCUAAUACCCAAUGCCGCCUCGGCCUUGCGAGGCUGAGGUGAAAGGAGGCCUCUGAUUUAAGCUUCCGCUCAAGGAGGGGUUUAUGUACUAUUAGCUUGUUGGUGAGGUAACGGCUCACCAAGGCUACGAUGGUUAGCCGACCUGAGAGGGUGACCGGCCACAUUGGGACUGAGACACUGCCCAGACUCCUACGGGAGGCUGCAGUCGAGGAUCUUCCGCAAUGCGCGAAAGCGUGACGGAGCGACGCCGCGUGGGUGAUGAAGGCCUUCGGGUUGUAAAGCCCUGUCAGCUAUUAUGAAUCGCGGGCGAUGAAUAGUUGUCCCGCUUGACAAAAGUAGCAAAGGAAGCACCGGCUAACUACGUGCCAGCAGCCGCGGUAAUACGUAGGGUGCAAACGUUGUUCGGAAUCACUGGGCAUAAAGAGCGCGUAGGCGGUUUGGUAAGUCAGCUGUGAAAUCCCCCGGCUUAACCGGGGAACUGCAGUUGAUACUGCCUAGCUAGAGUGCAGGAGGGGAGAGUGGAAUUCCUGGUGGAGCGGUGAAAUGCGUAGAUAUCAGGAGGAACGCCGGUGGCGAAAGCGACUCUCUGGCCUGCUACUGACGCUGAGGCGCGAAAGCUAGGGGAGCAAACGGGAUUAGAUACCCCGGUAGUCCUAGCCCUAAACGAUGGGUACUAAGUAGAGGGAACUCCGAUGUUUUCUCUGCCGGAGCUAAUGUAUUAAGUACCCCGCCUGGGGAGUAUGGUCGCAAGGCUAAAACUCAAAGGAAUUGACGGGGGCUCACACAAGCGGUGGAGCAUGUUGUUCAAUUCGAAUCAACGCGAAGAACCUUACCUGGGUUUGACAUGCUUGGGACAGCCUAUGAAAGUAGGUUUCCUCUAUGAGGCCCUUGCACAGGUGUUGCAUGGCUGUCGUCAGCUCGUGUCGUGAGAUGUCGGGUUAAGUCCCAUAACGAGCGAAACCCUUGUCCCUAGUUGCCAGCGGGUCAUGCCGGGCACUUUAGGGAGACUGCCGGUGUUAAACCGGAGGAAGGAAGGGGAUGACGUCAAGUCAUCAUGGCCUUUAUGCCCAGGGCCACAAACGUGCCACAAUGGUCGGUACAAAGAGAAACAAGACCGAAAGGUGGAGCAAACCUCAAAAAGCCGAUCUCAGUCCGGAUUGGGGGCUGCAACUCGCCCUCAUGAAGCAGGAAUCGCUAGUAAUCGCGGAUCAGCUACGCCGCGGUGAAUGUGUUCCUGAGCCUUGUACACACCGCCCGUCAAGCCACCCAAGUAGGGCGCACCCGAAAUCGCUGACCCAACCUUCGGGAGGGAGGCGCUGAAGGUGAGCUUUGUGAGGG
This 1487-nucleotide ribosomal RNA is filed under the name metagenome. Its description in RNAcentral is "bacterial SSU rRNA". It matches the Rfam family "Bacterial small subunit ribosomal RNA". The record is from RNAcentral.